This 285-nucleotide ribosomal RNA is filed under the name uncultured bacterium. RNAcentral's name for it is "partial 16S ribosomal RNA". It matches the Rfam family "Bacterial small subunit ribosomal RNA", at positions 29 to 339 of the family's 1533-position model. The record is from RNAcentral.
AACGAACGCUGGCGGCACGCCUAACACAUGCAAGUCGAGCGCGCCCUUCGGGUGAGCGGCGGACGGUUAGUAACGCGUGGGAACGUACCCUUCUCUACGGAAUAGCCAUUGGGAACGAUGAGUAAUACCGUAUACGCCCGUUUGGGGGAAAGUAUUUAUCCGGAGAAGGAUCGGCCCGCGUUAGAUUAGAUAGUUGGUGGGGUAAUGGCCUACCCAAGUCUACGAUCUAUAGCUGGUUUGAGAGGAUGAUCAGCAACACUGGGACUGAGACACGGCCCAGACUCC